Molecule: ribosomal RNA, 497 nt
Filed under: uncultured bacterium
Lineage: Bacteria
Description: partial 16S ribosomal RNA
Rfam family: Bacterial small subunit ribosomal RNA
Source: RNAcentral
GAUGAACGCUGGCGGCGUGCCUAAUACAUGCAAGUCGAGCGAACAGACGAGGAGCUUGCUCCUCUGACGUUAGCGGCGGACGGGUGAGUAACACGUGGAUAACCUACCUAUAAGACUGGGAUAACUUCGGGAAACCGGAGCUAAUACCGGAUAAUAUAUUGAACCGCAUGGUUCAAUAGUGAAAGACGGUUUUGCUGUCACUUAUAGAUGGAUCCGCGCCGCAUUAGCUAGUUGGUAAGGUAACGGCUUACCAAGGCAACGAUGCGUAGCCGACCUGAGAGGGUGAUCGGCCACACUGGAGCUGAGACACGGUCCAGACUCCUACGGGAGGCAGCAGUAGGGAAUCUUCCGCAAUGGGCGAAAGCCUGACGGAGCAACGCCGCGUGAGUGAUGAAGGUCUUCGGAGCGUAAAACUCUGUUAUUAGGGAAGAACAAAUGUGUAAGUAACUAUGCACGUCUUGACGGUACCUAAUCAGAAAGCCACGGCUAACUACGUG